Molecule: ribosomal RNA, 497 nt
Filed under: uncultured bacterium
Lineage: Bacteria
Description: partial 16S ribosomal RNA
Rfam family: Bacterial small subunit ribosomal RNA
Source: RNAcentral
GACGAACGCUGGCGGCGUGCCUAAUACAUGCAAGUUGAGCGCUGAAGGUUGGUACUUGUACCAACUGGAUGAGCAGCGAACGGGUGAGUAACGCGUGGGGAAUCUGCCUUUGAGCGGGGGACAACAUUUGGAAACGAAUGCUAAUACCGCAUAAAAACUUUAAACACAAGUUUUAAGUUUGAAAGAUGCAAUUGCAUCACUCAAAGAUGAUCCCGCGUUGUAUUAGCUAGUUGGUGAGGUAAAGGCUCACCAAGGCGAUGAUACAUAGCCGACCUGAGAGGGUGAUCGGCCACAUUGGGACUGAGACACGGCCCAAACUCCUACGGGAGGCAGCAGUAGGGAAUCUUCGGCAAUGGACGAAAGUCUGACCGAGCAACGCCGCGUGAGUGAAGAAGGUUUUCGGAUCGUAAAACUCGGUUGGUAGAGAAGAACGUUGGCGAGAGUGGAAAGCUCAUCAAGUGACGGUAACUACCCAGAAAGGGACGGCUAACUACGUG